CCUACGGGUGGCUGCAGUGAGGAAUAUUGGUCAAUGGCCGGAAGGCUGAACCAGCCAAGCCGCGUGAAGGACGAAGGUGCCAAGCAUUGUAAACUUCUUUUGUCAAGGGACAAAAUCAGGCUCGAGAGCCUGACCGAGGGUACUUCAAGAAAACGCAUCGGCUAACUCUGUGCCAGCAGCCGCGGUAAGACGGAGGAUGCGAGCGUUAUCCGGAUUUAUUGGGUUUAAAGGGUGCGUAGGCGGGCUGUUAAGUCAGCGGUAAAAGCCCGGGGCUCAACCCCGGCGAGCCGUUGAACCUGGCUGUCUAGAGAUGUAGAGAGGUAUGCGGAAUGCGCAGUGUAGCGGUGAAAUGCGUAGAGAUUGCGCAGAACACCGAUUGCGAAGGCAGCAUACCGGCGGCGAUCUGACGCUGAGGCACGAAAGCGUGGGGAUCGAACAGGAUUAGAUACCCGUGUAGUC
Molecule: ribosomal RNA, 459 nt
Filed under: uncultured bacterium
Lineage: Bacteria
Description: partial 16S ribosomal RNA
Rfam family: Bacterial small subunit ribosomal RNA
Source: RNAcentral